AUGGACCAUUACGGUUACAAAGCACCUUCCUGCCUAUUCGAUGACCGCCGCUUUCUUCCCGUCCGUGAAAUCGCAAAGGAUGUGGUGCUUCUUGCCGCUAAAUCCGUCAUCAUGCUCUCAUCCUCUCUCGGGAGUGAGCCGUUGAAUAAGUGUUGUGGCUUAUGGCUUCAAACCGCUCUUGUUUUAACGUCUGCUCAUCUCAUUCGUGAAAAGGAUCCCUCAGUCGUGAACCAAAGGAAGUUGCAGUGGACAGGAAAAUAUCAUCGUGAGGCUGAGGUCACUAUUCACUUGCUGGACAAAACAACUGCACUAGGCCGCCUCCUUUAUCUCCAGGAGCAUUAUGAAUUGCUAUUUAUGAGGUUCAGUUGCCCACUUUUAAUGAAUGUGUGCGUUCUGGUCAAGAUGUUUUCCGACUUGGGAGAGAUGAAAAUUUGGAUCUAA
Molecule: ribosomal RNA, 441 nt
Filed under: Triticum aestivum (bread wheat)
Lineage: Eukaryota; Viridiplantae; Streptophyta; Magnoliopsida; Poales; Poaceae
Description: partial small subunit ribosomal RNA
Source: RNAcentral